GGUGGGGAGCAGCGGAGCUGGCACAACUUCUCUGCCAAGGGCUUCUAUUUUCUUAGCAAAAUCGGAAGAGGUUGUCAGCUGAGAGUGAGGUGGGGGAGGAGGUGUGAAGCAGUCGUCUAGGAGAGCGGGUGUGAAUCGACUUCAGGGAUGGCGUGUAGUGGCUGGGCACUUGUGGUCCUUGGAAGGGGCCUGGGGGCUGAGCCUGCAGCUCGGCUGUGAGGAGCAGGCAUGAGGCCUUGACUCCUCCAGCUCGGAAAAAGAACUAUAUAAUGAACGAGUGGAGGCUGGUCGGAGAGGCUCCAGUCUUCCUAUCCAGAGUCACACCCCAUGUUUGAGGUGAGAUGUUUCCAGAUUGCAGAUUCCUAGUCUCCUCCAGACCACUUGCAAGAUGAUCUCAAAACAGCGCCAGGCAGGUGUGGUGGCGCACACCUUUAAUCCCAGCACUCAUGAGGCAGAGGGAGGUGGAUCUCUAUGAGUUAGAAGUCAGCCUGGUCUACAUGAGAGAGAGGCCAUUCUGGUCCACAAAGUCAUCAGCUACACAGCAGGUUUGAGACCAGCUUGGGUUCCAGAAGAUUCCGUCUCAAACCAUGGCAGUGGCAACAACAAAAGGGGCAAGGCAUGGUGUCUCCUACCUGUGACCCCUGACCUGGGAGGCAGAGACAGUAAGACUGAAGUAAGUUCAAGGCUAGCCUGGUCUACACAGCAAGUUCCAGCUCAGACCCUUUCUCCAAAACAAAACAACAGGAGCUGUGGAAAGACAGCUCGGCAUUGGCUGCUCUUGCCAAGGACCCAGGUUCAGCUUCCAUCGCCAACAUGGUGUCUCAGCACUGCCUGUGACCCAUUCCAGGGACCCAGUGCCCUCUGACGGCAUCCACAGGCAUUAGGCACAGCAGGUAGCACACAUACGUGUGUGCAGAAGCAACACUCAUACACAUAAAAAUAAAGAUUUAAAAAAUAUUUAUUUAGUUUACAUCCCAACUGGUUUCUCCUCUCUCCUCUCUUUCCAGCCCCUCCCCGCACCUUCCCUCUGCCCACCUCCCAUUCACUCCUUCAUUUCUAUUCAGAAAAUGGCAGAUCUCUCAACAAAACAUGGCAUAUUAAGCUGCAGUGAGACUAAACAUCUCCCCUUGUGUUAAGGCUGGACAGGGCAAUCCAGUAUGAAGAGUAGGGUCCCAAAAGCCAUCAAAAGAGUCAGAGACAGCCCCUGUUCCCACUAUUAGGAGUCCCACAAAAAGACAAAGCUACAUAACUGUCACAUAUGUGCAGAGGGCCUAGGUCAGUUGUUGGCUUAGUCUCUGUGAGCUCCUAUGAGCCUAGGUUUGUUGUAGAAUAUUAUUUUACGACGUGUUAUACUCAUUUAUGCUGUGGAAUAUUUGUUUAAUGAUGCAAAGAUGUGUUACCUUCUUUUAUGGUGCAUUUGUUUAACUCUGUAAAGCUGUGUUACUGUGCCUGCCUAAAACACCUGAUUGGUCUAAUAAAGAGCUCAAUGGCCAAUAGUUUUGCAGGAGAGGGAUAGGCAGGGCUGCCAGGCAGAGAGAAUAAAUCAAAGAGAGAAGAGAAAAGGAGAAGGAGAGGAGGACUUCAGGGACCAGCUACCUAGCCACACGGCCAGCCCGGAGUAAGAAGGAAAGAAAGGUAAACAGAAUAGAGAAAGGUAAAAUCUAAGAGGCAAAAGAUACAUGGGAUAAUUUAAGAAAAGCUGGCUAGAAACAAGCCAAGCUAAGUCCGGGCAUUCAUAAGUAAGAGUAAGCCUCCAUGUAUUUAUUUGGGAGGUGGGUGGUGGGCCCCCAAAGAGCAAAGAGUAAAAAAACAAAACAAAACAGGGGGCUGGAGAGAUGGCUCAGAGGUUAAGAGCACCGACUGCUCCUCCAGAGGUCCUGAGUUCAAGUCCCAGCAACCACAUGGUGGCUCACAACCAUCUGUAAGGAGAUCUGGCACCCUCUUCUGUAUACAUAAUAAAUAAAUAAAUCUUUAAAACAAAGAAACAAACAAAAAACAAAACAAAAAAAAACACAGGUUAGUUGUUUCUGUGGGUUUUCUUGUGAAGUACUUGAUCUCUC
Peromyscus californicus insignis is the source of this 2060-nucleotide long non-coding RNA. RefSeq lists it as uncharacterized. The transcript is spliced from 3 exons. The record is from RefSeq and is a predicted model, not a curated record. Lineage: Eukaryota; Metazoa; Chordata; Mammalia; Rodentia; Cricetidae.